Molecule: unclassified non-coding RNA, 228 nt
Filed under: Hevea brasiliensis (rubber tree)
Lineage: Eukaryota; Viridiplantae; Streptophyta; Magnoliopsida; Malpighiales; Euphorbiaceae
Source: RNAcentral
AAACGGACUCACCGCACCACCAAAGCUACCGCCAUUGAAGCACGAGAACCUCGCAGCUCGCUCAAUGAAAGCGGAAUCAGUUGGGAACUGUGGGAGACUCGGAGGAAGUACUCCAAGGCUGGCAGGCAUGAAAACACCUCCCAUCUCAAGCCUCGAAGGCAUUGCUGCCGGCUUUCCGAUAGGCACACUGUUUGAAGUGCUAGCACCGGAUUGAACACCAGUCUCACA